AAGCUCCAACGGCAUCAAUUGGGGACUUGAUGGUCGCAAAUUAAGUUAACUGGCUACGCGUUAGAUGGUAUUUGCGACCAUCAAAUCCCAAAUUGAUGCCGUGGGAGCUU
Molecule: small RNA, 110 nt
Filed under: Mytilus galloprovincialis (Mediterranean mussel)
Lineage: Eukaryota; Metazoa; Mollusca; Bivalvia; Mytilida; Mytilidae
Source: RNAcentral